CAGAUCCUUUCUGCCAGGAUUGGCAAUGCCUAGCUCAUCUUGCAGAUUGGCAAUGCAAAAUAGGCUGCAUGGGAUUCAGAGUGAAAUAGAAGAAUGACCUGGCUGACAUCAAUGUCCUGCAAAAGGUGCCAGAUGAGCUGACCCUAGCCAGAGCUGAACUGGAGAUGCUGAGAACCUGACGGAAGAAUUGGUCUAUCUGAAGUAGAAUCAAUCAUGAGGAGGCCAAAAUUUGAUUUUUUUUCCUCCCAGACUUCAAAAUUAAAACAUCAGGUUUGCAAAUCUGGAGUUAAAACAC
Marmota flaviventris (yellow-bellied marmot) is the source of this 295-nucleotide non-coding RNA. Lineage: Eukaryota; Metazoa; Chordata; Mammalia; Rodentia; Sciuridae. The record is from RefSeq and is a predicted model, not a curated record.